RNAcentral lists this transfer RNA (90 nucleotides) under Rudaea sp. RNAcentral describes it as "tRNA-Ser". It matches the Rfam family "tRNA". Rfam says of the family: Transfer RNA (tRNA) molecules are approximately 80 nucleotides in length. Their secondary structure includes four short double-helical elements and three loops (D, anti-codon, and T loops). Further hydrogen bonds mediate the characteristic L-shaped molecular structure. tRNAs have two regions of fundamental functional importance: the anti-codon, which is responsible for specific mRNA codon recognition, and the 3' end, to which the tRNAs corresponding amino acid is attached (by aminoacyl-tRNA synthetases). tRNAs cope with the degeneracy of the genetic code in two manners: having more than one tRNA (with a specific anti-codon) for a particular amino acid; and 'wobble' base-pairing, i.e. permitting non-standard base-pairing at the 3rd anti-codon position. Lineage: Bacteria; Pseudomonadati; Pseudomonadota; Gammaproteobacteria; Lysobacterales; Rhodanobacteraceae. The record is from RNAcentral.
GGAGAGGUGGCCGAGCGGUUUAAGGCACCGGUCUUGAAAACCGGCGUACUGGCGACAGUACCGUGGGUUCGAAUCCCACCCUCUCCGCCA